Molecule: ribosomal RNA, 242 nt
Filed under: Oncorhynchus keta (chum salmon)
Lineage: Eukaryota; Metazoa; Chordata; Actinopteri; Salmoniformes; Salmonidae
Description: partial 12S ribosomal RNA
Source: RNAcentral
AGAGGCCCUAGUUGAUAACUACCGGCGUAAAGAGUGGUUAUGGAAAAUAUUUAAUAAAGCCGAACACCCCCUCAGCCGUCAUACGCACCUGGGAGCACGAAGACCUACCGCGAAAGCAGCUUUAAUUAUGCCUGACCCCACGACAGCUAAGAAACAAACUGGGAUUAGAUACCCCACUAUGCCUAGCCGUAAACCUUGAUAGAAAUAUACAAUUGAUAUCCGCCAGGGAACUACAAGCGCCA